AACGGUGGAUCACUUGGCUCGUACGUCGAUGAAAAACGAGGCGAGACUCGAAAGUUUAUGUGAAUUGCAGCCACGUUGAACAUAGAAAUUUUGAACGCACAUUGCGGUGUUGAGUUGACUCGACGCCGCGUCUGUCUGAGGGUCAUUACU
Molecule: ribosomal RNA, 150 nt
Filed under: Trichinella sp. T6
Lineage: Eukaryota; Metazoa; Nematoda; Enoplea; Trichinellida; Trichinellidae
Description: 5.8S ribosomal RNA
Rfam family: 5.8S ribosomal RNA
About the family: 5.8S ribosomal RNA (5.8S rRNA) is a component of the large subunit of the eukaryotic ribosome. It is transcribed by RNA polymerase I as part of the 45S precursor that also contains 18S and 28S rRNA.
Source: RNAcentral